CGCGGUAUCUUGACCGUGCAAAGGUAGCAUAAUCAUUUGCCUUUUUAUUGGAGGCUAGAAUGAAGGAAAAAAUAAGAAUAUGACUGUCUCUAUUGCAAAAUAAAAAUUGCUGGUAGCGUGAAGAAGCGAAAGUAACAAAAAAAGACAAGAAGACCCUAUUAAGCUUUACUUUAAAAUUUUAUUUUUUAUCUUAAAAGAAUAAAAAAUAAAAUUAUGGUAGUUUGGUUGGGGUGACUAAAAAGGAAAAAAUCCUUUUUUUAGAAGAGUACUUUAAGUUUAAUAAAAGAUCCAAGCUUUUUGAUUAUUAGAAUAAGUUACUAUAGGGAUAACAGCGUAAUUUUUUCAGAGAGUUCUCAUUGACGAAAAAGAUUGCGACCUCGAUGUUGACUUGUU
RNAcentral lists this ribosomal RNA (393 nucleotides) under Kulikovia alborostrata. RNAcentral's name for it is "partial 16S ribosomal RNA". It matches the Rfam family "Bacterial large subunit ribosomal RNA", at positions 1932 to 2541 of the family's 2925-position model. The record is from RNAcentral. Lineage: Eukaryota; Metazoa; Nemertea; Pilidiophora; Heteronemertea; Lineidae.